This is a long non-coding RNA of Anopheles stephensi (Asian malaria mosquito), 597 nucleotides long. RefSeq lists it as uncharacterized. NCBI's taxonomy places the organism in Eukaryota, Metazoa, Arthropoda, Insecta, Diptera, Culicidae. The record is from RefSeq and is a predicted model, not a curated record. The transcript has 2 exons.
UUAAAACCGCGUGGACAUCGGAUAUCCAGUGGCACUAAUCCAAGGGGACCACGGAAACCGGAUACUAAUUCAUUCCAAAAUGAACUCACUUUGACGCGCAACCUCUUUCUGAGCGUCUGUGCCGCCACUGUUCACACCAAAUACUUUACAAAAUGUAGUGCCAGGAGGGAAAGCGACCAUGGGUGUGGGGUAUUUACAUAUGAGCGCGGUUGGUGCCACAGAUAUGAACGAGAGAUUAGAAAGAAGGGGUACAACUUAAAACCUAACGGAUGGAUUAGCAAACAGCUGGGGAACUGUGCCGCGUGGAGUACCACAGUUCACCACGCCUAAAGGAUGACCAAUGCUUCGAGAUGCUGUGAUUGUGUUUAGCAGAGCAUGGAGGUUUUUUGGACCAAUUUGGACAACUGUAUUGGAUUGACGCUGGGACACUCUGGGAAAAGGGGGGAGUUGUUGGUGAUGAGUACGGUAACAGUGUUGAAGAUUGUUUGAAGACAGGAAGGAAGCACGGACAGAGAGAAAGACAAGUAGGGUAAGGAUACAGACAGAUACGGAUUAAAAAAAAAAACAACAAGGGUUCCGACAGACAGUGGAACAACG